RNAcentral lists this transfer RNA (77 nucleotides) under Rhizobiaceae bacterium. Its description in RNAcentral is "tRNA-Ile". It matches the Rfam family "tRNA". Rfam says of the family: Transfer RNA (tRNA) molecules are approximately 80 nucleotides in length. Their secondary structure includes four short double-helical elements and three loops (D, anti-codon, and T loops). Lineage: Bacteria; Pseudomonadati; Pseudomonadota; Alphaproteobacteria; Hyphomicrobiales; Rhizobiaceae. RNAcentral also lists the same sequence under 1 other name. The record is from RNAcentral.
GGGCCUUUAGCUCAGUUGGUUAGAGCGCACCCCUGAUAAGGGUGAGGUCGGUAGUUCAAAUCUACCAAGGCCCACCA